RNAcentral lists this long non-coding RNA (821 nucleotides) under Brassica napus (rape). RNAcentral's name for it is "long non-coding RNA (BNAP_LNC022833)". The record is from RNAcentral. Lineage: Eukaryota; Viridiplantae; Streptophyta; Magnoliopsida; Brassicales; Brassicaceae.
UUUUUUUGGCAUCGUAUAAUUCGAAAACACAAAAAAAAAUUAUUUUUAUUAUUUUUUAUUUUUAUUUAAAUAAUAAUUUAUUAUAGAGAAAUUCCCUAGGAUAAACUUAAAUUUUUUUUAUCACAAAUAUAGACUCCAAAUAUCAAAAUGACCAAAAUGUUUUAUUAAGGGUAUAUUUUUGGGUUUAAGAUUUAGGGUUUAGGGUUUAGAGUUAAGGGGUGCGGUUUCGGGGGUAUGAUUUCAAAUUUUAAAAACUAAAAAAAUAUUAAAAUUUUCAAAAUAAAAAACUCUAUUUUGGUCAUUUUGUUUUUUAAGGUCUAUUUUUGUGACAUAAACUUAAAAAAUGUCUAUUUGAGAGAAUUAUCCUUUAUUAUAUAGGAAAAAUCACAUUUUAAACCCUGAGAGUGUCAUAUUCUAACACUUUAAACACUGAACAUUUUUGACUAGCACUUUAAGCUUUGAAAGUGAUAUUUUUAUCAUAACAAACCUCCAAGUCAACUAAGUGACCUGUACUGUUCAUUUUUUUAUGACGUGUCGGUUUUGUUUUUUAAAUAAAAAAUAAAAUACAUAGAAAAUUCGAAAAAAAUACGAAAAAACAAAACAAAUUUAAAAAUUAAAAAAUAUAUAGAAAACAACUUUUCAAAAUAAAAAUAAAAUAAAUAUUUUUAAGAUUAAUCCAAUAAAUAUAUAUAAUAUAAUAAUUUGAACGGUGAUUCUAGAUUCUGGUUUUUGAUUUUUUAAUUUUUUUUUUAUUUAUUAAUACUUAACUUAUUAAAUUUUCAACACUAAUCCUAUUAUUGGUAUUAUUUAUCAAAAUGAUA